Molecule: long non-coding RNA, 202 nt
Filed under: Gossypium barbadense (sea-island cotton)
Lineage: Eukaryota; Viridiplantae; Streptophyta; Magnoliopsida; Malvales; Malvaceae
Description: long non-coding RNA (GBAR_LNC013911)
Source: RNAcentral
AACAACUUAAUAAGGCCCUUUGUUCAGCCCCUAUACUUACUUUUCCCAAUUUGCAAAUGGAAAUCAUGGUGGAUAUAUACAAAUGCUUCAGGUCUUGGGGUAGGAGUUGUGCUUCAGCAACAGGGCAAACCCAUAGCCUCUUUCAACAAAAAGUUGGAGGUAAGGCACCAGGACCUCUCAAUUUAUGAGAAGGAAAUGUUGG